GCCGCUUGCGGUGGUGAUCCUCUUAGGAUUGGCUGUUUUCGGCUAAAUUCAGCGAAAUUUGCAUCAGUUCCAUUAAGAAAACACACUUAGGGCCCUUGGUUGACCGAAAAAACGUAUAAAACCGAAACUCACCAGCGAUGGGACUCUCUGGUACGACGGCUCCUCCGGCUCACGUUGCAGUUGGGUGUUUUACUCCGAUCAACCUGUAGAGAAGAAAACGGUGGUCACAACAUUAAAAAAAUUAUGCGAAAUGGGAAUCGAGAAGGGCCUCAUCGGAGGCAGUUUGUGAAAUUUCCCGCGGUGGCGCCAAAGAGCUUUGGUGGUAUUUUUUUGG
Molecule: long non-coding RNA, 334 nt
Filed under: Carica papaya (papaya)
Lineage: Eukaryota; Viridiplantae; Streptophyta; Magnoliopsida; Brassicales; Caricaceae
Description: long non-coding RNA (CPAP_LNC007778)
Source: RNAcentral